Molecule: ribosomal RNA, 106 nt
Filed under: Xenopus laevis (African clawed frog)
Lineage: Eukaryota; Metazoa; Chordata; Amphibia; Anura; Pipidae
Source: RNAcentral
ACUUGCGGCCGCACCAACCUGGAAGGGUCUGAUCUCGACUGAUCUCUGAAGUGAUCCGGGGCCGGCCCUGGUCAGUACCUGGAUGGGAGACCAGGUGUCGUAGGCU